UACGUAAGUGGUGGAAAUUAAACCAAAUGGGAUAUCUUUAGUAAUUGCGAAUGAACAAGGAUAUGCUUAGCUUGACAAAUGGAGCUAUUGGCUUUGAAUUGUAUUGUGGAAAUGUAUUACCAACAGAGGUGCAGGUGCCAGCCUAUUGAAAUAAAGCGUCAAUGAGGGUGAGAAUCCUGUUUGUCAUGUGCAGCCCUUUGUGCACGGUGUAUAUUUGCUGAGUCACACUCCUUGGCAUUGGAAUGCAAAGUGGGUGGUAAGUUUCAUGUAAAGGUAAACAUGCAAUUGAGACUGAUAGCACACAAGUACCAUGAGGGAAAUAUGAAAAGGACUUUGAAAAGAGAAUUAAAUGAGUUUGUAUUUGCUGAACACAAAGUAAACAGACUUGAUUUGCUUGGUGGGAGUGUUGCACUUGCUUGACAAGAGCUUUGGGCUGUGGGUGUAAUGAUUCUUUCUUUGCAUGCCAGUUUCUAUGUGUACAUCUGAUUACCUUUGCACAUGAAUGAUAAGUCUCCUGUGGGGGGUGGAUUGCAUGUGCAUGUAAUGAUUUGUGUUUUGAUAAAUGUGUCUGGUGUAUGUGUGUGUUCCUGUGCUUGGGGAUGCUUCCUUCCUUGGACUUACAAGCCCUGACACACACAUGCUGGCAAAAUGCUUCUGCUUGACCCG
Molecule: ribosomal RNA, 666 nt
Filed under: Alexandrium fundyense
Lineage: Eukaryota; Dinophyceae; Gonyaulacales; Pyrocystaceae
Description: LSU rRNA
Rfam family: Eukaryotic large subunit ribosomal RNA
Source: RNAcentral